GUCGGGCAUGGUGGCGCACACCUGUAAUCCCAGCUACUCAGGAGGCUGAGGCAGGAGGAUGACAAGUUUGAAGCCAGACCCAGCCACUU
This 89-nucleotide small RNA is filed under the name Marmota monax (woodchuck). The record is from RNAcentral. Lineage: Eukaryota; Metazoa; Chordata; Mammalia; Rodentia; Sciuridae.